GGCACCUUCGGUGUCCGAGUUGUAAUUUGAAGAUUGUAACCUUGGGGUUGGCUCUUGUCUAUGUUUCUUGGAACAGGACGUCACAGAGGGUGAGAAUCCCGUGCGAUGAGAUGCCCAAUCCUAUGUAAGGUGCUUUCGAAGAGUCGAGUUGUUUGGGAAUGCAGCUCUAAGUGGGUGGUAAAUUCCAUCUAAAGCUAAAUAUUGGCGAGAGACCGAUAGCGAACAAGUACAGUGAUGGAAAGAUGAAAAGAACUUUGAAAAGAGAGUGAAAAAGUACGUGAAAUUGUUGAAAGGGAAGGGUUUGAGAUCAGACUCGAUAUUUUGUGAGCCUUGCCUUCGUGGCGGGGUGACCCGCAGCUUAUCGGGCCAGCAUCGGUUUGGGCGGUAGGAUAAUGGCGUAGGAAUGUGACUUUGCUUCGGUGAAGUGUUAUAGCCUGCGUUGAUGCUGCCUGCCUAGACCGAGGACUGCGAUUUUAUCAAGGAUGCUGGCAUAAUGAUCCCAAACCGCCCGUUG
RNAcentral lists this ribosomal RNA (514 nucleotides) under Meyerozyma caribbica. RNAcentral's name for it is "LSU rRNA". It matches the Rfam family "Eukaryotic large subunit ribosomal RNA", at positions 124 to 654 of the family's 3401-position model. The record is from RNAcentral. Lineage: Eukaryota; Fungi; Ascomycota; Pichiomycetes; Serinales; Debaryomycetaceae.